This is a long non-coding RNA of Felis catus (domestic cat), 1144 nucleotides long. RefSeq lists it as uncharacterized. The record is from RefSeq and is a predicted model, not a curated record. The transcript has 3 exons. NCBI's taxonomy places the organism in Eukaryota, Metazoa, Chordata, Mammalia, Carnivora, Felidae.
GUUAAAAAAAAAAAAUGAUCUUAAAGACACUGCAUAGAGAUAUGGCUUAAAUGUAAGGUACUGACAGAAUCAAUGACCUAUAGAUGGUAUAAUUCACAUAUUACUAUUCUUUUUCAGCACUCCUUAUAAAAAUGAAUGAGUAAAUAAAUAGCUACAAGAAAACCACAGAAGCAGGGCUAUGACCCAGAAGGAUAACAGGAGAGAAGGUGAACAGGCAGCCAGCUGGUUCAGCACAUCAAGUCGCAGAACAGAAGACCACCAAGAAAGAACCGGUCCAGUUCUGUUCACGGAAUGAUGGAAAAAAUAGGACACUGUUAUGAAGUCAAGCUCCUUCAUGAAGUACUUUGCUGAAUUUCAAAGCAAAAAAAGUACCAUUCAUUUUUUUUCUGCAACUGGCUGGAUUUUUAAACUGUAUCCAUCACUCACUGUAAUCACAGGAAAUCAGCUCAAAAACUUAUUCUUGCGUCUAUUUUUUCCCCUGAGGCCACAAUACCUAUGAAAUGAAAUGCUGAUGUAUUAGUACCAUGUUUUAGCGGUUUCUAACAUACAGUCAAAAUCACUCAAUGCUUCCCAGAGUUACUGCACAAGAAAUACACCAACAAUUAAACAGAGUGUUAAGUAUCUGAUCUGCAAGAGACCUUACAAGGUUAGAUCAGUUUACUUUCCAAAGCUGGUUGUUUUUGCAUGAAAUGUACUCAUGAUCCUAUGUCUUCAUGUCAGCCUUACUGAUACGAAUUAAGACUUACUAGAACACACACCCACAAAUGGACUUUUCUUAAAGAAUCAAGGUUUCCUUUUUAUUCCUUUAGCACAAAACUUCACCGAUCAUCUUACUAGAACAACUUUCAAAAGUGAUUGCUGUGAAUAUCAUUGAAGUCACAUUUAUGGAGCGAAUUUCCCAAAAACCAGACCAUGCAAAAAUCGAAAACAGUUUGAAAAGAAUCAUAAAAAAAUUACCUAGCUCAAAUCUUUUAUUUCACAGAUAUAGAAACUAAAACUGUUGUGAAGUUAACAGUGUUUGCCUCUAAAGUCAACUGCUAGUUAAUUAAUGAAAAAGGACCAAGAUGUAUGUUAAGACCAGGUUCUUUCUCCUGAACUGAACUUCCCUAUAAAAUAUACAAUAAAUUAUAUAUGUGUGUGUGUA